Long non-coding RNA from Meriones unguiculatus (Mongolian gerbil), 332 nucleotides. RefSeq lists it as uncharacterized. Lineage: Eukaryota; Metazoa; Chordata; Mammalia; Rodentia; Muridae. The record is from RefSeq and is a predicted model, not a curated record. The transcript has 3 exons.
CAGAACCCAGCUGGUUUCCCAGUGUUUCUCUCCCCCGCCCCCCGCCACUCAGGCCACGGAUGGGGUGGUGAGAGGCAUAGAGGGUAGCCAGGAGACCAAGGAGAGAAAAUAUCGGUGUAUAAUUUCUCACGGAACUUGGAACUCAAACUCCAGGGAUCCACCUGUCUCCACCACUGGCCCCAGCACUAGAAUUACAGGCGUGUGUCACCAUGCCUCGUUUUUACACAGCUCGUGAAUCCAUUCAUGGAGAUUCUGUUCCCGGGAUGCGACUGUCUCUCAAAAGUACCAACUUUCGGGCUGGAGAGAUGGCUCAGAGGCUAAGAGCAAUGACC